GCGGGCGUAGUUUAAUGGUAAAACCUCAGUUUUCCAAACUGAUCUCGUGGGUUCGAUUCCCAUCGCCCGCU
Non-coding RNA from beta proteobacterium KB13, 71 nucleotides. NCBI's taxonomy places the organism in Bacteria, Pseudomonadati, Pseudomonadota, Betaproteobacteria, Nitrosomonadales. The record is from Rfam.